Long non-coding RNA from Juglans microcarpa x Juglans regia, 1218 nucleotides. RefSeq lists it as uncharacterized. NCBI's taxonomy places the organism in Eukaryota, Viridiplantae, Streptophyta, Magnoliopsida, Fagales, Juglandaceae. The transcript is spliced from 3 exons. The record is from RefSeq and is a predicted model, not a curated record.
AUAAAGCGCAAAACAUUCCAGCAACGGUAAAACAGAAAACCCCAAAGUAUCCAGAUGGUGAAAUCGUUCGCCAUUUGAAUGGAGAGAGAGACUUCCGGUGGAAUUCCUCUUUAUACCUGCGUCGGUAGUUUUUGCCCUCGAUUUUGCUCAAUCGGUGUACGUCUGGUGCGAAACAUUGCCUCUUGAUUAAUAGUUUUCAAUGGUAGCGAUGAGUUCUAGUAUGAGCUAAGGUCGUGAGAAUCAUUUAAAUUAGACAAGCUCGAGCACGAAGUCAUUUGUCUGCUCGAAUUAAAUAUUAACGGUCCUCAGCUAUCCGGCAGUGAGAAGCACCUCAAAGAUUUCUCACGGCAAGGCAGACCUACUGCGAUCGUUGGCCUCCAAGGCCUGUGCGGUUUAUAUGUAAGUGAAGGUGAUAGGGGGGAAAUUUUAACACUAAUGAUUUGCAAGUAUCUUUAGUUUUGUUUUUUUGUUUUUUUUUUCCUCUAUAUCUUCAAAUAAAUUCGUAUCUGAAACGAAUGCAAUCAUUAUUUUACCUUUUCUUUUCCCCCGAUCUUUCUACUGAAAAUUGAUUCAUAUAAGUUUAUAAUUCUCCACGGGGUUAUCUUGAUUUUGCAGUUUUAAUGCAGAUCCACUUCUAAUUCUUUUCUGGUUUGGCUUAUCCUCUUGGCUAGGAAUAUUCAGCUCAUCUACACCCUUCAAUGAGAACGUAUACGUUGAGUCCAUACGAUUUUGAAUUUUUCUUUGUGAUCCUACCUGGUCCUCAGCUAUCACGCGGUGGGACUCACACCGAGAUUAUUGAACAUCAUGUGCGUGAUUUGGCCACUGUUGUGUAUCCAGUUAAGAGUGUGAAACAACCAUGCUUCAGUGGCUUCCAUCAUGCUUGUUACUGAAAUUGCGUACAACCUUGUAAGUGAAAGUAAUGGGAUGCUUAUUUUGGCAUUAAUGAUUUGCCAUAGUUCCUUUCCUUCGCCACCCCCAACCUGUGUGUUCGUAUGUGAAAUGAAUGCAGCCAUUGUUUUAAUUUUUUUCCCCCGAUCAGUCUGGUGAAGAUUGAUUUAUUGUAUGCUUAUAACUCUCCUCAUGGGAAGAUUCCAAUUGUAAGAGAUCCUUGAUUGACGAAGCCUUACUAGAUACUGAACAGAGAUGAGUUAAGGUCCGAAGUCUAGGACUUCUAAACCAGGAAAAGAAAUCCAAUCUUCCAAUAUUAAGGUAUCUGUU